Non-coding RNA from Zea mays, 47 nucleotides. The record is from Rfam. Lineage: Eukaryota; Viridiplantae; Streptophyta; Magnoliopsida; Poales; Poaceae.
ACAAAGGUUCCCUUUGGUACCACUUAUUAUAAUAUAAUAAUAAUUUU